AGCUACAGGCUUAACACAUGCAAGUCGUGGGGCAGCAUGGUCUUAGCUUGCUAAGGCCGAUGGCGACCGGCGCACGGGUGAGUAACACGUAUCCAACCUGCCGUCUACUCUUGGACAGCCUUCUGAAAGGAAGAUUAAUACAAGAUGGCAUCAUGAGUCCGCAUGUUCACAUGAUUAAAGGUAUUCCGGUAGACGAUGGGGAUGCGUUCCAUUAGAUAGUAGGCGGGGUAACGGCCCACCUAGUCUUCGAUGGAUAGGGGUUCUGAGAGGAAGGUCCCCCACAUUGGAACUGAGACACGGUCCAAACUCCUACGGGAGGCAGCAAUGAGGAAUAUUGGUCAAUGGGCGAGAGCCUGAACCAGCCAAGUAGCGUGAAGGAUGACUGCCCUAUGGGUUGUAAACUUCUUUUAUAAAGGAAUAAAGUCGGGUAUGGAUACCCGUUUGCAUGUACUUUAUGAAUAAGGAUCGGCUAACUCCGUGCCAGCAGCCGCGGUAAUACGGAGGAUCCGAGCGUUAUCCGGAUUUAUUGGGUUUAAAGGGAGCGUAGAUGGAUGUUUAAGUCAGUUGUGAAAGUUUGCGGCUCAACCGUAAAAUUGCAGUUGAUACUGGAUAUCUUGAGCGCAGUUGAGGCAGGCGGAAUUCGUGGUGUAGCGGUGAAAUGCUUAGAUAUCACGAAGAACUCCGAUUGCGAAGGCAGCCUGCUAAGCUGCAACUGACAUUGAGGCUCGAAAGUGUGGGUAUCAAACAGGAUUAGAUACCCUGGUAGUCCACACGGUAAACGAUGAAUACUCGCUGUUUGCGAUAUACUGCAAGCGGCCAAGCGAAAGCGUUAAGUAUUCCACCUGGGGAGUACGCCGGCAACGGUGAAACUCAAAGGAAUUGACGGGGGCCCGCACAAGCGGAGGAACAUGUGGUUUAAUUCGAUGAUACGCGAGGAACCUUACCCGGGCUUAAAUUGCAGAUGAAUUACGGUGAAAGCCGUAAGCCGCAAGGCAUCUGUGAAGGUGCUGCAUGGUUGUCGUCAGCUCGUGCCGUGAGGUGUCGGCUUAAGUGCCAUAACGAGCGCAACCCUUGUUGUCAGUUACUAACAGGUUCCGCUGAGGACUCUGACAAGACUGCCAUCGUAAGAUGUGAGGAAGGUGGGGAUGACGUCAAAUCAGCACGGCCCUUACGUCCGGGGCUACACACGUGUUACAAUGGGGGGUACAGAGGGUCGCUACCACGCGAGUGGAUGCCAAUCCCCAAAACCUCUCUCAGUUCGGACUGGAGUCUGCAACCCGACUCCACGAAGCUGGAUUCGCUAGUAAUCGCGCAUCAGCCACGGCGCGGUGAAUACGUUCCCGGGCCUUGUACACACCGCCCGUCAAGCCAUGGGAGCCGGGGGUACCUGAAGUGCGUAACCGCGAGGAGCGCCCUAGGGUAAAACUGGUGACUGGGGCUAAGUCAUAAC
This 1450-nucleotide ribosomal RNA is filed under the name uncultured organism. RNAcentral describes it as "SSU rRNA". It matches the Rfam family "Bacterial small subunit ribosomal RNA". The record is from RNAcentral.